This 96-nucleotide microRNA precursor is filed under the name Nicotiana sylvestris (wood tobacco). RNAcentral describes it as "MIR6152 microRNA precursor family". It matches the Rfam family "MIR6152 microRNA precursor family". The record is from Rfam by way of RNAcentral. Lineage: Eukaryota; Viridiplantae; Streptophyta; Magnoliopsida; Solanales; Solanaceae.
UGGACAGUUUAUUGUAUUCGAUUGUAUUCACGGCGUGAAACAGGGGAUUACAUUGUUUUUAAACGGAAAGUGAAUCAAUUAACAUAAUAGACUCCU